GACGAACCGUGCGAACGUUAUUCGGAAUCACUGGGCUUAAAGAGCGCGCAGGCGGUCGUUCAAGUCGCGUGUGAAAGCCCCCGGCUCAACUGGGGAGGGUCACGCGAUACUGAUCGACUCGAAGGCAGGAGAGGGUAGUGGAAUUCCCGGUGUAGUGGUGAAAUGCGUAGAUAUCGGGAGGAACACCAGUGGCGAAGGCGACUACCUGGCCUGUUCUUGACGCUGAGGCGCGAAAGCUAGGGGAGCAAACGGG
RNAcentral lists this ribosomal RNA (253 nucleotides) under uncultured bacterium. RNAcentral's name for it is "partial 16S ribosomal RNA". It matches the Rfam family "Bacterial small subunit ribosomal RNA", at positions 524 to 776 of the family's 1533-position model. The record is from RNAcentral.